RNAcentral lists this ribosomal RNA (497 nucleotides) under uncultured bacterium. Its description in RNAcentral is "partial 16S ribosomal RNA". It matches the Rfam family "Bacterial small subunit ribosomal RNA", at positions 28 to 507 of the family's 1533-position model. The record is from RNAcentral.
GAUGAACGCUGGCGGCGUGCCUAAUACAUGCAAGUCGAGCGAACAGAUUAGGAGCUUGCUCCUUUCACGUUAGCGGCGGACGGGCGAGUAACACGUGGGUAACCUAUCUAUCAGACUGGAAUAACUGCGGGACACCGGGGCUAGUGCCGGAUAACAUGUUGAACUUCAUGGUUCUACAAUGAAAGGUUGAAUUGCUGUCACUUAUCAAUGGAACCUGGCCGUAUUGGCUAGUUGGUGAGGUAAGGGCUCACCAAGGCAACGAUACGUAACGGACCUGCGAGGGUGAUCGGCCACACUGGAACGGAGACAGGGUCCAGACCCCUACGGGGGGCGGCGGUAGGGAAUCUUCCGAAUGGGGGAAAGGCCGGACGGAGCAACGCCGGGGGAGGGAUGAGGGUCUUCGGAUGUAAAAACUCUUUUAUUAGGGAAGAACAAAGGCGUAAGGAACUGUGCGCGUCUUGACGGUACCUAAUCAGAAAGCCACGGCUAACUACGUG